AAAAAAAAAAGAUUUGCGGUGGGCUCCCCCCUGCCUAAAGGAUUGUUAAACAGCGUCUAUUUUUCAUUCGCUGAUAUAUCAUUUAUGAAUGAUAAAUGUGUGUUUAGAUAGAAAAAAAGUCUUCGAAGCAACGAGAACAAACGAGUUUGGGAGAGAAACUUUGAAAGUUUAGAGGGAUCUCUUCGGAAAAAAAUGAGGCGCAAGAGCGAAAGAAACAAGGGGAAAGCGUCCCCGGAGAAGAAAGUGGAGAAGCCAACGAGAAAAUCAACACGAAGAAGAGGCAAGAGGUCUCCGUCAACAUCGCCCGAUCGAGAAAACAGCAAUGACACAGUUGCAAUAAUGGCACGUGAAAAUGAAGGCGAAACAGCGUCUCAGUCGCAUUUAGCGGGUCGAGACAUUGAGAAAUUAAAUGAAACAGCGAAGAGUAGCGUAACUUCAACAGAAAUUUCAAUCAUCAAGGAGGAGGAGGAGCAAACUACAGAGGCUGGCUCAGUAUGGAAAGUGGCUAGAGCAGAUGCGUCACCUGGAGAGAUACAGAAAUUAAAAUUAUGCAGACAGCGCAAUAUGUCAGAAACAUCGGAUGCUUCGUCGAGCAGGAAGAGAAGUAGCAAAUGGCAUGAGGGCAGCGAAGGUAUAACGGAGGAGAUUGAUUCAUCCGAUGAGCGUACGACGGUGGGCUCAUCAAAGACCACCGUUGAGGAUGCUCCAAGGACCGAAGAGAACACCUCCGUUGUACAAGGUCGGGACUCCAGCGAAGAGGUAAGUGAUAGCAAGGAGUUCCCGCCCGAAAUCGCAACAGCCGAAUUGUCUGACGUGAAACCAAACAUAGAUUACGUGGAUCAAGGUGAGACGAGCCAGACGACUAUUGUUAUUAACGCGAAUGUGCGUCAAGAUGAUGCUAAACCGAGCGAUGCUAUUCCUGAGCCAAGCGGUGGCGAACUGAAGUCGAGCGUCAACGAGAAUCCUGACGGAAACAAGCACGAUGAGGAACAAAUCUCCAACGAAGCGGAGACCGAGAGGCAAAUUGAGAAGGAAGCUGAGAAGGAGAAUAAGGAGAAAGAUAACAUUGAGGAUCAUAUAAAUACGGAGAUCAAAGUCGUCCCUAAUGACCAACAAACUUUUGAUCGUUGUUCCAAAAACGAGAAUGAAACGAGCCUUGAAGAAAGUGCUAAAACAACCGACGAUAACAAUGAUCUUCGAGAUUCCAAAGAAUCCAGCAGCGACGAGAACGAACUCGAACAUGAAAAACGUCGAGACAUCGUUCCAUUAAAGAGACAACGAGACGAUACUUCCGACGAUAAUUCUGAGGAUAACGAUAAAAAAGAAAAAGUUACUAAAGCACCUUUGCCACGUACAACCAGCAGGAGAAAGCAUCGGGACAAAUAUCGCGAUUCGUCCAAUUCCGAUACCGGCGAAUCCGAGGACGAACCCGAACGAGAUAACAAGAGAAGUAAGAGGAACGUCCUCGAGGAAUCUCGUUCUACCAGAGAUCACUCGCCCAACAUCGAAGAAUCCAAUUACAAUAAAGAUAUUUCACGAACGCCCGAGAUUCGACCGGAGUCACCGACUCGCAACGAUAUUCCUACUGAUAAUGAAAGAAAAAUCGUUGAGAAUGAUAAGUCCAAGACGAACGAUGAUAAUGAACGAAUCGAACAAAUUCCUGCAGCUAAUGCUACUGUUGUACAGGCACAAACUAAUUACAAACCUGCUAAAGUCAACUUGAAGAGAUCAUUCGCUGCUAGACCAUCGGUAGAAUCCGUGGAAUCAAAGAAAAAUGCUCCUGAUAAUGAGGCCAACGAUCUUGCCAAUCAAGAUAAGGAGAAUCACGCGAGCGGCGAGCAAAAUGAUGUUAAGUCCAUUCCAAAGAAACGCCGUUGGGGAACGAUUCUCACACCAACCGACCCUACGCCAGCAUUUUCGGUUUCAACGGAAUCUCUCAAGGUUCUUGUACCAGGCGCCAAGCCCCUGCCCAUCAAUGAGGUUCGUCUCUCGAAGGACGACGACGAGGAGCGAGAUCGUCGAAAUCAACGAGAGAAACGUUACAGUACGAGUGAAUCUGGUACAGAGCAUAAAUCACGCGAUGAUGAAAAACCGAAGAACGCGGAAUCAAAGAAAGAUUCUAAAGGAGACAAUCACAUCGUUUCAAGGCGGAAAAUCUCCAUUGUGAAGGACACGCAACACGCCAAAUCUCCGAGUCCUCCUGCCGCUGUACCCACGAGCAUACUUCUUAUUAAAAAUCUGGUUCGACCCUUUACUUUGAAUCAAAUUCGGGAACUUUUGUCGCGUACUGGAACCAUCGUAGAAAAUGGGUUCUGGAUGGAUCGCAUUAAGUCGAAGUGUUUUGUAGAGUAUUGCAACGAGGAUCAGGCGUUUGAGACGAGGCAAGCCCUUCAUGGAAUAUCGUGGCCAGUAUCAAAUCCAAAAAAAUUAAUAGUAGAAUACGCCACAAAGGAAGACAUGGAAAUGGCACGCGAGCUUGCGAAGGAUCAACCCGCGUCACGGAAAACUGAGCCACUGGCGGUGAACGAUGGAUGGCAGCAGGAUUGGGCCCGAGAUGAGAGAACGAAUUCCACGACGAAGGUAACGGUCGUCAGGGAAUGGGAUUUAGGCAAGGAGGAUGGUCAACAUUUUGCAAAGGAUAAGGAGCGCGAGAAGAAGGAGCUUGAAAAAAAGAGACGGCAAAGGAGUCGAAGUCCAACGUUAGAAGCACACCUUCCAGCGCCAGCUCGAAAAUUCAAAAAGAAGGAAGAUGAUCCACCACCUGCGAAGCUACUUGAUGAUCUUUUCCGAAAAACCAAAGCUACACCGUGCAUAUAUUGGCUACCACUUACCAAUGAGCAGAUCGUGGUGAAGGAAGAGAUGCGGAGACAGCACAUGGCAGAACACGCUCGUAGACUGGAGGAAAUGAGACGCGCAGAAAGGAAUCGUGAUGCGCGUCGUCGCCGCAGUCCACGAAAAUAAAUACAAUCCACACGUUUUUCCUCCUUCUCCUCUCUGAUUUUCUUUGCACCCUCGGUUUUAUAUUAUACGUGCCGUCAAGUGGGGAGGGGUCAAAGAAAUAUUGGUCAUCGUCGUCGAGACGAUUCAGGGCGAGGGGAUGAUCAACGGAGAUACUAUACGAUCUUGAGUCGUCCACGUACGCCUCUCUGACAUUCGUCAUUGGCGCCACUAAUACGAAUUCUCUGUGGUUUGACGGAGGACCGCUAUUGAUUAUUACGAAUAAUCGUAAUGCAGCGAGCAACGUGGGAUUCUAUAAUAUAAAGAGAUUAUAUAUUGAAAUGAAAACUAAGAUGUGAAUCCAUCAUCAUCCGAAACAUAGUAUUGCGUAACAGCUAAUCGGAGUUCUGGUACAGCUCAUGAAUAGACCCAAUUUGUAACCCAACAGUAGGGAAAUAUAAUAAAAGUGACACUUUUUCUUUCUUCAAUUAUAAACGUGCAAAUUCAAAUCACUAGUUACCAUCGAAAUUGCUUAACCAUAAGCAUCAGGAAUAACAGUGAAUAUGAUAAAUAUUCAAAAUCCGUAGAUACACGAAUGAACAGAAAUUUUCAAACGUAGUUUCAUUGUAAAAUCGUGAAACAAGAGACACAGAAAACAAAAAAACGCGAGCCAGAAGCGAGAUGUUUUUACUCUCACUGCUAUUAUCAAAGUCACGAUAAACUAGUGAUAAUAGAUUUUGAGUAACAAGAAAUUUGUCUUUUAUAUGGAAAUUGGAGUUUUGUGGACGAGAGGCACCUAAGUUGGUGGGCGUUGGGUCAUCUGAGAGUCCUUUGAGUAAUUCAUCGAGAUUGAAAAUAUUUUGACUUCGUAGAAGAAAAAGUCUUGAGCCACGAAUUUUGCUCGUACGCUAGUACGUUUUAUGUGAAACAAAAAAAACAAAUCAAUCAGCAAUUAUAUAUUAUAAUUAUAAAAACAAAUCUUAAGGAAAACACAAAAUGAAAAUAGCGUGCGAACGUUUAGGAAUAUUGUCGCUUGUAAGCGUAAUCGCACUGACAUUCAAAGAGAAUCAUUAAUAAUUAAAAAAAAAAAAUAAAAAUAGACACAAGACCCGCUGUAAAUAAAUAUGUCGGAAUUCCAUGAUUUCAUGUGUAAAAUUUAUCAAUAAACACCAAAAUAAGACACA
RNAcentral lists this unclassified non-coding RNA (4121 nucleotides) under Venturia canescens. Its description in RNAcentral is "apoptotic chromatin condensation inducer in the nucleus, transcript variant X2". Lineage: Eukaryota; Metazoa; Arthropoda; Insecta; Hymenoptera; Ichneumonidae. The record is from RNAcentral.